AACCUGAGAGUUUGAUCCUGGCUCAGAACGAACGCUGGCGGCAGGCUUAACACAUGCAAGUCGAACGCCCCGCAAGGGGAGUGGCAGACGGGUGAGUAACGCGUGGGAAUCUAC
This 114-nucleotide ribosomal RNA is filed under the name Alphaproteobacteria bacterium. Its description in RNAcentral is "partial 16S ribosomal RNA". It matches the Rfam family "Bacterial small subunit ribosomal RNA", at positions 1 to 129 of the family's 1533-position model. The record is from RNAcentral. Lineage: Bacteria; Pseudomonadati; Pseudomonadota; Alphaproteobacteria.